ACGGGAGGCAGCAGUGGGGAAUAUUGGACAAUGGGGGAAACCCUGAUCCAGCGACGCCGCGUGAGUGAAGAAGUAUUUCGGUAUGUAAAGCUCUAUCAGCAGGGAAGAAAAUGACGGUACCUGACUAAGAAGCCCCGGCUAACUACGUGCCAGCAGCCGCGGUAAUACGUAGGGGGCAAGCGUUAUCCGGAUUUACUGGGUGUAAAGGGAGCGUAGACGGCAUUGCAAGUCUGAAGUGAAACUCCGGGGCUCAACCCCGGAACUGCUUUGGAAACUGCAGAGCUUGAGUACCGGAGGGGUAAGCGGAAUUCCUAGUGUAGCGGUGAAAUGCGUAGAUAUUAGGAGGAACACCAGUGGCGAAGGCGGCUUACUGGACGGUAACUGACAUUGAGGCUCGAAAGCGUGGGGAGCAAACAGGAUUAGAUACCCUGGUA
RNAcentral lists this ribosomal RNA (434 nucleotides) under uncultured Lachnospiraceae bacterium. RNAcentral's name for it is "bacterial SSU rRNA". It matches the Rfam family "Bacterial small subunit ribosomal RNA", at positions 341 to 792 of the family's 1533-position model. The record is from RNAcentral. Lineage: Bacteria; Bacillati; Bacillota; Clostridia; Lachnospirales; Lachnospiraceae.